GUGGGGAAUAUUGGACAAUGGGGGAAACCCUGAUCCAGCGACGCCGCGUGAGUGAAGAAGUAUUUCGGUAUGUAAAGCUCUAUCAGCAGGGAAGAAAAUGACGGUACCUGACUAAGAAGCCCCGGCUAACUACGUGCCAGCAGCCGCGGUAAUACGUAGGGGGCAAGCGUUAUCCGGAUUUACUGGGUGUAAAGGGAGCGUAGACGGCACUGCAAGUCUGGAGUGAAAGCCCGGGGCUCAACCCCGGGACUGCUUUGGAAACUGUGGUGCUGGAGUGCAGGAGAGGUAAGUGGAAUUCCUAGUGUAGCGGUGAAAUGCGUAGAUAUUAGGAGGAACACCAGUGGCGAAGGCGGCUUACUGGACUGUAACUGACGUUGAGGCUCGAAAGCGUGGGGAGCAAACAGGAUUAGAUACCCGUGUAGUCC
This 425-nucleotide ribosomal RNA is filed under the name uncultured bacterium. RNAcentral describes it as "partial 16S ribosomal RNA". It matches the Rfam family "Bacterial small subunit ribosomal RNA", at positions 354 to 796 of the family's 1533-position model. The record is from RNAcentral.